AAGUCGAGGGGCAGCGGGAAUUGAGCUUGCUCAAUUUGCCGGCGACCGGCGCACGGGUGCGUAACGCGUAUGUAACCUACCCUGAACUGGGGAAUAACACUGAGAAAUCGGUACUAAUACCCCAUAAUACACUGGAAGGCAUCUUUUGGUGUUGAAAGCUCCGGCGGUUCAAGAUGGACAUGCGUUGUAUUAGCUAGUUGGUGAGGUAACGGCUCACCAAGGCGACGAUACAUAGGGGGACUGAGAGGUUAACCCCCACAUUGGUACUGAGACACGGACCAAACUCC
This 287-nucleotide ribosomal RNA is filed under the name uncultured Alistipes sp. RNAcentral describes it as "partial 16S ribosomal RNA". It matches the Rfam family "Bacterial small subunit ribosomal RNA", at positions 59 to 339 of the family's 1533-position model. The record is from RNAcentral. Lineage: Bacteria; Pseudomonadati; Bacteroidota; Bacteroidia; Bacteroidales; Rikenellaceae.